CAGUAGCCACGGUAAUACGGAGGGUGCAAGCGUUAAUCGGAAUUACUGGGCGUAAAGCGCACGCAGGCGGUUUGUUAAGUCAGAUGUGAAAUCCCCGAGCUUAACUUGGGAGCUGCAUUUGAAGCUGGCAAGCUAGAGUCUUGUAGAGGGGGGUAGAAUUCCAGGUGUAGCGGUGAAAUGCGUAGAGAUCUGGAGGAAUACCGGUGGCGAAGGCGGCCCCCUGGACAAAGACUGACGCUCAGGUGCGAAAGCGUGGGGAGCAAACAGGAUUAGAUACCCGCGUAGUCCCUGUCUCUUAUAC
This 301-nucleotide ribosomal RNA is filed under the name uncultured bacterium. RNAcentral's name for it is "partial 16S ribosomal RNA". It matches the Rfam family "Bacterial small subunit ribosomal RNA", at positions 509 to 807 of the family's 1533-position model. The record is from RNAcentral.